This 253-nucleotide ribosomal RNA is filed under the name uncultured bacterium. RNAcentral's name for it is "partial 16S ribosomal RNA". It matches the Rfam family "Bacterial small subunit ribosomal RNA", at positions 524 to 776 of the family's 1533-position model. The record is from RNAcentral.
UACGGGGGGGGUAAGCGUUGUUCGGAAUUACUGGGCGUAAAGGGCUCGUAGGCGGCCAACUAAGUCAUACGUGAAAUCCCUCAGCUUAACUGGGGAACUGCGUGUGAUACUGGAUGGCUUGGAUUUGGGAGAGGGAUGCGGAAUUCCAGGUGUAGCGGUGAAAUGCGUAGAUAUCAAGAGGAACACCUGCGGCGAAGGCGGGUUGCUGGGCCGACACUGACGCUGAUGCGCGAAAGCUAGGGGAGCGAACGGG